RNAcentral lists this ribosomal RNA (497 nucleotides) under uncultured bacterium. Its description in RNAcentral is "partial 16S ribosomal RNA". It matches the Rfam family "Bacterial small subunit ribosomal RNA", at positions 28 to 507 of the family's 1533-position model. The record is from RNAcentral.
GAUGAACGCUGGCGGCGUGCCUAAUACAUGCAAGUCGAGCGAACGGACGAGAAGCUUGCUUCUCUGAUGUUAGCGGCGGACGGGUGAGUAACACGUGGAUAACCUACCUAUAAGACUGGGAUAACUUCGGGAAACCGGAGCUAAUACCGGAUAAUAUUUUGAACCGCAUGGUUCAAAAGUGAAAGACGGUCUUGCUGUCACUUAUAGAUGGAUCCGCGCUGCAUUAGCUAGUUGGUAAGGUAACGGCUUACCAAGGCAACGAUGCAUAGCCGAACUGAGAGGGUGAUCGGCCACACUGGAACUGAGACACGGUCCAGACUCCUACGGGAGGCAGCAGAAGGGAAUCUUCCGCAAUGGGCGAAAGCCUGACAGAGCGACGCCGCGUGAGUGAUGAAGGUCUUCGGAUCGUAAAACUCUGUUAUUAGGGAAGAACAUAUGUGUAAGGAAAUGUGCACAUCUUGACGGUAACUAGUCAGAAAGCCACGGCUAACUACGUG